CUUCCCUCGAAAAUACUCUACCAGAAUGUCUGAACUAGCUUCUGGUUUAGCCAUACACUUUCUUACACAGGACAGGUAAAUAUCAAAAUAGCACAUGGUUUGUUGAUGAAGAGAAUUCAAAACAGAGUGUGCAAAGCUGACAGUGGGACAGAUGCUUGUAGAAAUAAUAAUUUAGGUCAGUGGGUACCUUCCAGCUAAAGGGGAAGAACAGGAAGAAAAGACCACUUCUGCUUCCUCAGAACAGCCAAGUGACUAGAGAAAACUGAGGGGAGGGUGAGUUGGAAAGGACAAAGAAACCAAAGCUGAUAGAAGUUACAAAAUAAAGAAAACAAUGAAAUACCAUCAGGAUACAGUGAGUGGAACAUUUAAAGCAGAAGCAAGACUAAAACAAGAGAAGGAUCUCUGAAGGUAAAUUUCUCAGAGAUUUAACCUUCUGCCAAUUUAACAAGAGGAAAGUGGAACAACCUUUGUCUAAUAAGAUGGUCUACCCUUGCAGCAUUUAACAGUGGCAGAAGGACCACAUAUAUUCACCAGAGGCUCCAAGCCCUGGGGAUCCAAAGCUAAAUUCUCUGGGAACCAAGAACAAGCUACUCUCCUAAGACACUUUCUCAUAAACAAAGUACAGCUAAUAUCAAGGGGGAGGGGGCUCCGGAAAGGGUUGAACCAGAAGCAGGAACUACCUCAUCACCUGUGCUACUAAUUGGGAAUUCCUGAAAAUUAUGCUAAUUUGCUAAAUUUAUAAAGCUGCAUUAGCUCUGUGUAGGGUGGGAAUUUUCCAUAUUUGCCUCUGGAGGCCUCCAAUUAAAGACCAAUUAUAUUACCUCCUAUAAUAAUAUUAUCUCAAAAGUGUGUUAUUUCUAGAUCUUUAAGGCAGCAAAAGAUCCAGAAACAUGGCUGAA
Molecule: long non-coding RNA, 899 nt
Organism: Passer domesticus (house sparrow)
Lineage: Eukaryota; Metazoa; Chordata; Aves; Passeriformes; Passeridae
Exons: 4
Source: RefSeq, a predicted model, not a curated record